This 301-nucleotide ribosomal RNA is filed under the name uncultured bacterium. RNAcentral's name for it is "partial 16S ribosomal RNA". It matches the Rfam family "Bacterial small subunit ribosomal RNA", at positions 509 to 807 of the family's 1533-position model. The record is from RNAcentral.
CAGCCGCCGCGGGAAUACCGAGGGUGCGAGCGUUAAUCGGAAUUACUGGGCGUAAAGCGUGCGUAGGUGGUGGUUUAAGUCCGUUGUGAAAGCCCUGGGCUCAACCUGGGAAUUGCAGUGGAUACUGGGUCACUAGAGUGUGGUAGAGGAUAGUGGAAUUUCCGGUGUAGCAGUGAAAUGCGUAGAGAUCGGAAGGAACAUCUGUGGCGAAGGCGACUAUCUGGGCCAACACUGACACUGAGGCACGAAAGCGUGGGGAGCAAACAGGAUUAGAUACCCCAGUAGUCCCUGUCUCUUAUAC